RNAcentral lists this long non-coding RNA (215 nucleotides) under Lathyrus oleraceus (garden pea). RNAcentral's name for it is "Pisum sativum (pea) long non-coding RNA (PSAT_LNC027007)". The record is from RNAcentral. Lineage: Eukaryota; Viridiplantae; Streptophyta; Magnoliopsida; Fabales; Fabaceae.
UCUUGUAUGGAUUUAGGUUUUUUGCUUGACCAAGAAGCAACUUAUCUCUAAUGCAAAGCCAUUCACUUGAUCUUUGAUCAAGAUGAAUUAGAUUUGAAUCAAAGAAGGUUAAGCCCCUCAUAUGUCAAGGCUAACCACCAAUCAUUAACUCAUUGAUCAAAAAGAAAAAGAAGAAGAAGAAGAAGAAGAAGAAGAAGAAGAAGAAGAAGAAGAAG